RNAcentral lists this ribosomal RNA (496 nucleotides) under uncultured bacterium. RNAcentral describes it as "partial 16S ribosomal RNA". It matches the Rfam family "Bacterial small subunit ribosomal RNA", at positions 29 to 507 of the family's 1533-position model. The record is from RNAcentral.
AUGCACGCUGGCGGCGUGCCUAAUCCAUGCAAGUCGAGCGAACGGACGAGAAGCCUGCUUCUCUGAUGUUAGCGGCGGACGGGUGAGUAACACGUGGAUAACCUACCUAUAAGACUGGGAUAACUUCGGGAAACCGGAGCUAAUACCGGAUAAUAUUUUGAACCGCAUGGUUCAAAAGUGAAAGACGGUCUUGCUGUCACUUAUAGAUGGAUCCGCGCUGCAUUAGCUAGUUGGUAAGGUAACGGCUUACCAAGGCAACGAUGCAUAGCCGACCUGAGAGGGUGAUCGGCCACACUGGAACUGAGACACGGUCCAGACUCCUACGGGAGGCAGCAGUAGGGAAUCUUCCGCAAUGGGCGAAAGCCUGACGGAGCAACGCCGCGUGAGUGAUGAAGGUCUUCGGAUCGUAAAACUCUGUUAUUAGGGAAGAACAUAUGUGUAAGUAACUGUGCACAUCUUGACGGUACCUAAUCAGAAAGCCACGGCUAACUACGUG